AGAGAGAGACAUGCGCUCAUAUCAAUAAGCGGAGGAAAAGAAACUAACUAAGGAUUCCCUCAGUAACGGCGAGUGAAGCGGGAAGAGCUCAAAUUUGAAAUCUUCAAGGUUCUACCUUGACGAAUUGUAGUUUAAAGAAGUGUUUUCUGUUGAAGUUUUGGUAAAAGUUCUUUGGAAUAGGACAUCAUAGAGGGUGAGAAUCCCGUAUUUGACCAUUAUUUUCAGCUUUGUGAUACACUUUCAAAGAGUCGGAUUGUUUGGGAAUGCAGUCCAAAAUGGGUGGUAAAUUUCAUCUAAAGCUAAAUAUUGGCGAGAGACCGAUAGCGAACAAGUACCGUGAGGGAAAGAUGAAAAGAACUUUGAAAAGAGAGUUAAACAGUACGUGAAAUUGUCAAAAGGGAAGCGUUUGACACCAGUGUUGUUUUCUCGAAAAUCAAUUAAAAAUGAGUUAGAUUUUGUAUGUGAUUGAGACCUUAACAGCUUGCACUGUACAUUUUUCGUGUCUUUUUUAAUGCACUUUUCGUUUAACAAGUCAACAGUCAGUUUCUUUUGUUGUAAAAGGGUCAUUGGAAGGUGGCUUUCUUUUCGGAGAAAGUGUUUAUAGCCUUUGGCCUCUGCAAUCGGAGAGACUUGAGGUCUGCAGCGUAGACUCUUCGGGGUUAGAUACAUUUGUGCUAAGUUAUAGCCUUUCAUAGACAACUUGUUGACUAUGAUCAGUCAUGUAGCUUACUCGCUUAUGCUAUUUUACCUACGCUUAGGAUGUUGAUGUGAUACUGCGAGCA
RNAcentral lists this ribosomal RNA (782 nucleotides) under uncultured Neocallimastigales. RNAcentral's name for it is "partial large subunit ribosomal RNA". It matches the Rfam family "Eukaryotic large subunit ribosomal RNA", at positions 22 to 627 of the family's 3401-position model. The record is from RNAcentral. Lineage: Eukaryota; Fungi; Neocallimastigomycota; Neocallimastigomycetes; Neocallimastigales.